Molecule: long non-coding RNA, 10887 nt
Organism: Patella vulgata (common limpet)
Lineage: Eukaryota; Metazoa; Mollusca; Gastropoda; Patellidae
Exons: 2
Source: RefSeq, a predicted model, not a curated record
UGUAACGUAAACUUUAUGAUGUAUUACUAACCAACUUUUUUCGCUUUAAAUACUUCUUGAUUAAAUAAAAUUACAAGUGUGUGCACAUUCUAACAAUUGAUAAAUAGUUGGAAUUCAGACAUAAUAAUUAUAUAUGUAUUAUUGGUUAUAAUUCUAACGUUAUUCUAACGUAAAUUUUACAUCAGGUUUCUAACCGUUAGUUUAUGGUUAGUUUUCUGACGUAAAUCUAACGUUAGUUUUCUAACGUUAAUAUAACGUUAGUUUUCUAACGUUAAUAUAACGUUACUUUUAUGUCAUAAUUUUAACCGUUAAUUUAACGUUAGUUUUCUAACGUAAAUCUAACGUUAGUUUUCUAACGUAAAUCUAACGUUAAUUUUAUAACAUAAAUCUAAUGUUAGUUUUCUAACAUAAACCUGAUAUUAGUUGUAUAAAGUAAAACAAAUGUCAGUUUAAUUUCAUGAUACUAACAAUUAAAUUACUGUCAUUUUUUAUCCUUAGUUUUCUUACGUAAACAAAUGUCAGUUUAAUAACAUGAGCACCAUUUGUAAUGAAGCGACUCGAUGAAGAAGGCUAACCAUAUCCCACAGGACAAUACUGGUGUGGACUAGAAUAAGCAGACGCCAAAGACUGUAAUUCAAUUUGGGCUUUUUGCAUAUUUUGUCGAACAUAAUUGAUUAAAAUAUACAGUAAAACCAGAUAAGACUGAACUUUAUUCAGUUUAUAUACAUUCAUGUUAUAUUAUUAUAUGCCUUGCUACCCAUUUUUGUCCAUUUCCAGGUGCCCAACAAUAGAAAUGAAAUGGGGUUUAACGUCCUACUGUUCUGCUCCGAACUGGGCUAAUGAAGACGGGCAUGUGCCAUACAGUGUCCUAUGAGGGACAUUUUGCCCGUACAGCGGCACUACGACCUACUCUUAUAUCGAAUUCCAACUGUCAAGGGAUCUUUUACGUGCACACUAAUGUGUCAACAGGACCUCAGUUUUUCAUCGGAUCCGAACAACUAGACAGGUGUCCUUAUCAGGCCCUACGUCACGCAUCACUUUCUCGGCCAAUGCAGGGAUCGAACCUUUUAACUCCUUUAAGAAUUUCAGCCUGUAAGCGACACAUAAAGAGAAAAAGGAAUGAAUGAAUGACCUACUCUCAUUUCGAAUUCCAGCUGUCAAGGUUUCGUUUACAUGCACAUGCAACAUGAGCACAAGAUCUUGAUUUUUUGUCCUAUUUGAAGGACUAGACACUGUCCUACAUUACAAACAAGGGGAAAAUUCUAUACCAGGAUCGGACCCCUCGUUAGUUAGCCAGUGUGUUAACUUGAAAGUUAACCAUUAGCCAUUCAACCACGCCAGUGUGCUACAAGGGAGUUUUAUCCGGACAGCUGUGCUAAGGCCUACUCAUAUAUUGAGUUCCAACUGUGCCGAUGUGUACAUGGGACCUCAGUUUUUCGUCCCAUCCGAAAGACUAGAAACCUGUGCAGUGCACAAACACAUUCUCCUUAUUAUUCCUGUCUGUGACUACAGUAACUUGAUAUUGUACACAUUGGAGUGCACGUAAACGAUCCCUUGGUAGUUGGAAUUCGAUAUAAGAGUAUUCUGUUGUGCCGCUGCCCGGGCAAAAUUUCCCUCAUAGCACACUGUAUGGUGUAGGCCCAUCUUCAUUAGCCCGGAUUAGGAGCAGAACAGUAGGAUGUUAAACCCCAUUUCAUUUCAUUUUGUGUACAUGGGACCUCAGAUUUUCGUCCCAUCCGAACGACUAGACAGCUGUCCUUGUCAGGCCCUCUGUCCUGCAACACUGCCAAGCAGAAACCACAUCGGAAAAUCCUGAUGAACACUAGCCAGUCAGUGGCUCCGGGGUCAUAAAUGUAGUGCCACAAAAAAAAAAUUUGCAGUUCACAAACACAUUCUCCUUACUAUUUGAGUCUGUGACUACAGCAACUUGAAAGUAGUCCAAUUAAUAGCCUUUUUUAUGUGGUUUUGCAAUCGAAAUCAAACCUGAGAGGGAAAACAAAUAAUGAUAAUACAUGAAAAAGUGUGGCACCAUCCAAAGGGAGAGUGAGAAUGAAAUGGGGUUUAACAUUCACUCGACACAAACUAGGUUAUUUCAGGACUAACCGUAGGGGUCUUUAGCAGUGGGAGGAAACCGGAGCACCCAGAGAAAAUCCACGGGGUUGGACAGACGUCCCUACUCCUUGUCAUAUUCAACCCGGGAAUGGAACCCAUGCCAGUUGACUCAAUGACAUACCUUAUGAUACAACACGCAUGCGCUAAAUCGAUGGACACACUAGCCGAAUCGUUCGGCUGAAUGGGUGGACACACUAGCUGAAUGCUUCGCCCGAUUCAACCUGUCGGUUGCAUCACCUUUCACGUCACAUGAUUAAACAUGGCGGCGUCUGUGUCUUUAAUCUAUCAUGUGACUUCUCGAUAUGAGUGGUGAUUGGCUAAUGAAUUCUAUAUUCGGCCGAAUGCUUCGGCGAAGCGAACACACCAGGCGAAUAUAAUUGAUUCGGGCGAAUUAUUCGGCCGAAUGACAGUGGACACCGAAUCAUUCGGCUAGUGUGUCCACCGCCUAACCAUUUGUCCAUCCGACCCUCCGCCAGUGCGUUACCAGGGAGUUUUGUCUGGACAGGAGUGCUAAGGCCUACUCUUAUAUUGAAUUCCAACUGCAAGGGGAUCUUUAAGUGCAUGCCAAUGUGUACAUGGGACCUCAGAGAGAAUGAAAUGGCAUUUAUCAUCAACUCGACACAAACUAGGUCAUUUCUGGACUAACAUAUAUAGUUUAAUUUUAUUUCAAUAAUUCGCGUGCCCGUAGGGGUCUUUAGCAGUGGGAGGAAACUGGAGGACCCAGAGAAACCCAUGAAGUUUGACAGGCGACCUUACUCCUUGUCAUGUACAACCAGGAAAUCGAAACCACGCCAGUUGACUCAAUCAUACCUUAUGAUACAACGCGCACACGCUAACCAUUUGGCCAUCCAACCUCGCGCCAGUGUGCUACAAGGGAGUUUUGUUUGGACAGCAGUGCUCAGGCCUACUCUUAUAUUGAAUUCCAACUGCCAGGGGAUCUUUUAUGUACAUGCCAAUGUGUACAUAAGACCUCAGUUUUUCGUCCCAUCCAAACGACUAGACAGCUGUCCUUGUCAAGCCCUCCGUCCUGCACCACUGACAAGCGGAAACCACGUCGGAAAAUUCUGAUGAGCUUUCUCAGGCAACACUGUGAGCGAACCUGUGACCUCCAAGCAAGCCAGCCAGUGUCUUAUUCACUUAGCCACUGUGGCAAAGGGGUCAUAAAUAUAAUUCCACAAAAAAACCUGUGCAGUUCACAAACACAUUCUCCUUACUAUUCGAGUCUCUGUGACUACAACAACUACUCGAAAGUAGUGCGAACUGUAAAUUUUAUUUUGUUAAACCAUCGUAAGAAAAGAAACAUAUUGAAUAUGCUUGUCAAUAUUCUUUCUCUGUCAGAGCAGCUAAAAGGUGAAAUUGUCUUCCAAAAACUCUUUGUGAGUCCUCUUCCAUCCAAAACUUAAAAAAAAAUUAUUUCAAAAAUGGUGUUGAGAGAGAGAGAGAGAAAUGGGGUUUAACAAGAGAGAGAGAGAGAGAGAGAGAAAUGGGGUUUAACGUCCACUUGACACAAACUAGGUCAUUCGGGACUAACAUAUAGUUUAAUUUUAUUUCAAUAAUUUGCUUGCGCGUAGGGGUCUUUGGCAGUGGGAGGACCCGGAGAAAACCCAUGAGGUUGGACAGGCGACCCUACUCCUUGUCACGUAUAACCGGGGAUUCGAAACCACGCCAGUUGACUAAAUGACAGGUCGUCACCAUUCGGCCAUCCAACCCCCCAAAAAUGGUGUUGAAAUGGGUGUUUUUGUGAAUGCGCUUAGAAAUACUCAUGUGUAAUGAAGUGCUAUAAUUGAACCAUAAUAAUAAUAUAGUAGGCCUAGUGGACUCCUCCGUCUCAUUUUGGUUGAAUGUUUGGAAAUUUGAUGGCUAAUUAGAUUUAGGACACUCUGGCAUAUUUUCUAGGCUUGGCUUCAUGUGGCCUGUUUUCCAUGCAUACAAGAAUUAACCAAUUAGAAGUUAAACAAAAUAAAAUCUGCUCCAAAAUAUUACAAUACUUUUUUUUAUUUCAUUGCCCAAAACACCUUUACAGCCUGAAUGUUAAUUUUGGGGCAGCGUUUAACUGCAUGGGUGGUAAUUGAAUUUAUUAAAUUGACUAACUUUUGCACAAUAAGUAAAUAUAAAUUAUCUUAAUACCCCAACUCAGACAAGUUAGUGGCCUUUCAAACCAAUUUAAAUUCGGUCAAAAUUUGUAGAAAUUUAGAUAUUAUUUUAUUGCAUGUGUGUACAAUUUGUUAUGUGUCUAAGCUCUGUUACCACAAAAAAUAUAUUUAAUUUAGUCCUUAUAGUAGAUUCUAUCACACGUUUGAAAGUUGUCCAACGGUCGAAUAAAUAUGUUGUAGUUUGACCUAGAUAAAUAUAAGACUGGGAAAAUAAAUAUAAAAAAAAUUCCGACAUCUUAAAAGUAGAUACCUAUAUUCGCAAUGGAAAUAUUAUUUUAAAAAUCGGGAUUAUUUAAUUUGAUACAACUGAAUAAAAUGGCUCUAGUCGAUCUAUUUAAAAAAACAUCAACCAAAUAUACGAGUUGGGCAACUGCCAGUGCAGUACUGCAUCCGUCGUGAUCCGAAUAAAGCUGUACGUAUGUAUAUUAUAUCAUGUGCAUGCUUAAAAAAAGGCCUCUGAAUCAUAUAAUAAUUUCUUCAAUUUUACUAUUCAUAAGCCUAAAAUAUUACGUAGUUAUAGACUAUAUAUAAAAUAUUGAAGUGCGUAGGCCUACAGUUGAUAGUCGCAUAGACUCCGUUAUCUACGUAUAUGAUAUAUGCCGCCAUUUUGGGUCAAGGUCAAGAUAAAUUACAGUCAAUACAAAUGAAGAACUACAUCGAUAGAUUAUUAAAUGUAAUUUCUAUUAACUGAUUUCAAUGUUAGGUGGUCUAUGUUUGUUGUCUUUUUCAGUAUAUUGUCCACAUUGAUUAAACUAUCAUUAUUAAAAUCAUUUUGAUUCUUCUAUAUUUGUACGUACUUUUUUACAACUCUGAACCCGGAAGCGAGGUAUUCUGGGAAGGGUAUUUUAAAGAUGGCGGGCGUUUUGGAAUUUAUUCGUGGAGUGCAUGAGAAAUGUUCAAUAUACAGCUACUUGGAUUACACAAACAGAGAAAGAUAGAUUAUACCAGUUAAAUUGAGAGGUUUUAUUUGAAAACCCUAUAUUUGAGCACCAUUCAUGGCAGUCAUGUCGAGGAAGUUAUAAAAAGGCUGAUAAGGGCUUUGUAUAUGGAAGCUAGAUGACAUUACUACUUAUCAUACACAACUAUUUGUCACAUACCGACUUGGGAUUGAAACCAAGCGACUGAACUCAAUAACACUCCUCAAUAACACUCGUCUAUGAAACCACCCAGAUGGCAAAGAAAUAAAGACUUUUUAAUUAUGUAACGAACUCAUAUAUGUAUCUAUGGUAGCACAAAAUUCACCAGAAUGUAGGCCAAAGCUUUACUUUACAAGCAGUAGGCUUAAAAUAUUUUCCGUCUGAUCUUGUAAGAGUCAAUUGUUUAUGAAUAGUUUGCCUCAAGCAGAUAUCCUGUCACUGUGUCACAGUAUCAUAUAACCGCUCUUUGGCUUGAACUGAGUUGUAUCAGUGAGUUGAAAAUCUACUGCAGCCAGUAUAUUAGAUUCAAAAUUCUAACGAGCUUUCGUCUAACUUCUAACUUCUGUUCAUGUAUUUUUUAACUUCUAUUCAUGUAAUUUCUAACUUCUAUUCAUGUAUUUUGUUAAAUUAAGACAAUGUAUAAUCCAACUUCUUUAUUUGUUCAGUGUAAAUUUUAAUUCUAUUCCAUCUUAUUUCUAUUAUUUAGACGAAAAACGUCUUCUUAAUUUUUACACUUCUGCCUAGCAACCAUCAUUAUGAAGUCAUUUUUGGUGAUUGCGCACCUGGUCGGGACCAUUGUGUUGAUAUAAACGACACAUUCUUGAUAAAGACGAGAGUGUCCUCGUCGAAACGUUGCUUUAUAUUAAACUCAGUAAGAGUUAUCUAUAAAAUUGUACCCUGUGUUAAUGUAGACCAACAGUAUAUAAAUAUUAAUUGGCUCAAUUUGUCUUAAAAAAAAUGAACAAAUGCUGUUUAGCUUGUAUUUGAAAUAGAAAAUGAAAUAUAAUGGGGUUUAACAUCCUACUAUUCUACUCCGAACUUGGCUAAUACGCCAUACAGUGUGCUACGAAGGAAACUUUGCCCGGACAGCGGCACUACGGAACGAUUAGACAGCUGUACUUGUUAGGCCCUCCAUCCUGCAUCACUGACAAGGAGGAACCAUGCCGGAAAAUCUGGAUGAACUUUCUUGACCAAUGCAGGGAUCGAACACCCUACCGCUAGGCUAGUGAGCCAGCGUCUUACCGACCGUAUUUGAAAUCGUAUUUGCAAACCAUACAUAGAUAUCACGUUCAAUGUUGUUUGUGGGGUUGGACGGCCGAAAGGUUAGCACGUGCGCGCUGUACCAUAAGGUAUGUCAUUGAGUCAACUGGUGUGGUUUCGAUUCCCCGGUUGUACGUGACAAGGAAUAGGGUCGCCUUUCCAACCUAGUGGGUUUUCUCCGGGUCCUUCGGUUUCCUCCCAUUGCUAAACACCCCUACGCGCAAGCGAAUUAUUGAAAUAAAAUUGAACCAUGUUAAUACCGAACCUACAUGUAGUUUGUGUUGAGUGGACGUUUAACCCCAUCAGACUCUCUCUCUCUCGCUCUCUCUCUCGAAGUUGUUUUCAAUUUUAGCACUCCACCAAACCAUUCAACUGGACUAAGAGCGAGUCAUUUGUAUCAACAGAAUGGUCCCGAUCAGGUGCUCAAUCGCCAAAUUGAGCGAACGGUGGCGACACCAAACGACGUCAUAAUGAUGGUUGCUAGGUAGAAAUCAAAAUUCUAAAUUUGUUUACCAUUCAUGCUUAACAUGUAAAGUGACUAGACAUUUUUCGCCUUAAUAAUAGAAAUAAGAUGAAACAAUUAAAAUUUACACUGAACAAAAAAAGAAGUUGAAUUAUACAUUGUCUUAAUUUAGAAAUUACAUGAAUGGAAGUUAGAAAUUACAAGAGUAGAAGUAAGAAAUUAGACGAUAGCAUGUUAGAAUUUUGAAUCUAAUAUACCGCCAUAGUAUACGGGGAAACUUUUUAAACCCUUACAAAUUCUUCAAAUUUUUGUGAUAGAUCAAUAAUAGCAAAAAUCUGUGUUAAAAUUAUAUUUGUAAUGUGUUUAACAAAUUCUAUCACACAUGUAAUAUUGGUGUAAUUUAGUAUAUACCUUAUUUCAAUACUGGGGUAUUAUAUCGUUGCCCUGACUGUUUGUUUGUCCAAAUUAGUUUGUGAUUGUGAAGGUGACAGUUUUUUAUACGCUAACAUUUUCAUGUAGACGUAUAUUUUUGUAGCCCCUGUCCGUCCGAACGUCCAUCGGUCCGUCCACAAUUGUUUGUGGGACCGUAACUUCAUGGAUUAUGGCCCCUGAUUGUACUGAAAGUCAUGUUUUUAGCUUGUGGACCCUAUAGAGGUCAAAAUUUUUAUAUGCCCACAUUUUCAUGUGGACGUAUAUUGUGGUAGCCCCGGUCCGUCCGGACGUCUGUACACAAUUGUUUGUGGACACUCUACAGGUCACAAUUCUUAUCCGAUUUUGACGAAACUUGAAAUAUAGGUUUAUCUCCAAAAGAUCUUGGUUGCUUUCGAUAUUGGCAUGUAUCUGACCGUAACUUCUUGGAUUAUGGUCCCUGAUUGUACGAAAAAUCAAGUUUUUAGCUUGUGGACCCUAUAGAGGUCACAAUUUUUAUACGCCCACAUUUUCAUGUGGACGUAUAUUGUCGUAGCCCUUGUCCGUCUGGACGUCCAUCCGUUUUUAGCUUGUGGUCCCUAUAGAGGUCACAAUUUUUAUACGCCCACAUUUUCAUGUGGACGUAUAUUGUCGUAGCCCCUGUCCGUCCAGACGUCCAUCCGUUUUUAGCUUGUGGUCCCUGUAGAGGUCACAAUUUUUAUUCGAUUUAUAAAAAAAAAAACAAUGGGAAUAUAUAACCAUUACACACUAAGAUCUUGGUUCCUUUUCAUAAUCGCGCAUAUCCGAACGUAACUUCCUCGAUUAUGGCUCCUGAUUGUUCGAAAAAUCGCAUAAUCAAGGUUGAAUUCGAAUUAAGGGAAAAUCAAAAUGAAACUGCCUGACAAAAUGUGUAAAAGUAUGCAAUAUGAAGGCAUUGGAUACUCAAGAUUUUAACUGGCCUGCAAUUUAAAAAUUUAAUUAAAAAAUGGGAAAGUGAGGCCAAGUCUCGAAUAUACCUGUGCCCUCAUUACCACAAUGCACACAUCAUGUCGAAACUAGAAACUGUGAUAACUUGGCUCAGAAUGAAGUAAUUUGAAUGAAAUUUUCAUUUUACAUGUAUAUUAUUUAUUUUUGAACAAUCAUAGCAAGAAUGGUCAGCUCUUUAUCUAAAUCUGGGCUAAUGAAGACGAGCAUAUGCCAUACAGUGUACUAUGAGGGAAAUUUUGCCUGGGCAGCGGGGCUACGGCCUACUCUUAUAUCGAAUUCCAACUGCCAAGGGAUCUUUUACGUGCAUGCCAAUGUCUACACGGGACCUCGGUUUUUCGUCCCAUAACGACUAGACAGCUGUCCGUCUGUCAGUUCCUCCGUCCUGCAUCACUGACAAGGGAAACCACGCUGGAAAAUCAGGAUGAACUUUCUCGGCCAAUACAGGGAUCGAACACCCGAUCUCCAGGCUAGCGAGCCAGCGUCUUACCCACUUAGCCACUUGAUCCCCCCCCUUUGGUGAAAGAGAGAGAGAGAGAAAUGGGGUUUACCGUCCACUCGACACAAACUAGGUCAUUUCGGGACUAACAUAUGGUUUAAUUUUUUAUUUACAUAAUUCGCUUGCGCGUAGGGGUCUUUAGCAGUGGGAGGAAACCAAAGGACCCGGAGAAAACCCACAAGGUUGGACAGGCGACCCUACUCCUUGCCACGUACAACCGGGGUUUCGAAACCACGCCAUUCGACUCAAUGACAGACUCAACCACGCUAACCAUUCAGCCAUCCACCCAUCCCCCCCCCCCUUUGUUGAAAGAAAACAGAGCUGUGGCUAGUGAAAUGAAAGUUUAACGUCCUACUGUUUUGCUCUGAACUGGGCUAAUGAAGAUGGGCAUACGCCAUACAGUGUGCUAUGUGGGAAAUUUUGCCCGGACAGUGGCACUACGGCCUUCUCUUAUAUCGAAUUCUAACUUCAAGGGCUCUUGUACGUGCACGCCAAUGUGUACAUGGGACCUCAUUUUUUUGUCCCAUUUUAAUGACUAGACAGCUGUCUUGUCUAGCCCUCUGUCCUGCAUCACUGACAAGGGAGAACCACGCCCGAAAAUCUGGAGUAACUUUCUCGGCCAAUGCAGGGAUCGAACACCCGACCUCCAGACUAGAUAGCCAGUGUCUUACCGACUCAACCAACGUGAUCCCCGUUGUGGCUACAAUUCCUGGAUUUGAAGGUCAGGUAUGAUAUGAAACGAAUAUUUUGAACCGGUUCACCAAUGCAACCAAUCCGUGACGGGUUAACUGAUAGAGGGUUACAUCCUUGAUAUAUAUAAAGGUAGCUCAAAAUUCAUCUCUACAUGUACAGAGGCCAAGGGGGGAUCAUGUGGCUAAGUGGGUAAGACGCUGACUCGCUAGCCUUGAGGUCGGGUGUUCGAUCCCUGCAUUGGCCGAGAAAGUUCAUCCUGAUUUUCCGGUGUGGUUUCCCAUUGUCAGUGAUGCAGGACGGAGGGCCUGACGAAGACAGCUGUCUAGUCGUUUGGAUGGGACAAAAAAAAACAAGGUCCAGUGUACACAUUGGCGUGCACAUAAAAGAUCCCCUGGCAGUUGGAAUUCGAUACAAGAGUAGGCCAUAGCGCUGCUGCCCGGGCAAAAUUAUCUCAUAGCACACUGUAUGGCGUAACCUUUUGCGUCUCUUCAAAAUAUUUCAAAUCUUUUGUCAUGGAUCAACCAUUGCAAAUAUCCGUGUUACAAUUAUAUUUGAAAUGUGUUAAACCAAUUCUGCAACACAUGUAAUAUUGGUGUAGUAUAUAUCUUUGUUUAUACACCCACAUAUCAAUUUUGGCCCUGUUUGUCCGUACACUGGGUGUGAAAUGUGAAUCAUUCCGAUUGUGAGAGGACAAGCAUUAUCAAUAUACAGCUUUUCAGGACUUUGCUUUCCUUGGUUAAUUCUCCCUAGUCUAGUCGUUUGGAUGGUACGAAUGAUCGAGGUCCUGUGCACACAUUGGUGUGCACGUGAAAGAUCCCUUGGCAGUUUGAAUUCGAUAUAAGAGUAGGCUUUAGCGCCGCUGUCUGGAUAAAAUUCCAUAAUAGGACACUGUAUAGCAUAUUUCCAUGUCAUUAGCCCUGUCGGAAUAGGACAUUAAACCCAUUUCAUUUCACUCAUUCCAAAGUUAACUUCUAUUCCAUCAAUACCUUGAGCAAAUAAGAUAGAGGCUAUAGGUUUUGGCCCAAUUUGGUCAAUAUCCCAGUUUUUUCUUUCUUAUAUGCAUAUCAACACUUUCAUAGCGCUAAUGUAGACCUUUUUCUUGAACAUUUUCCCGUGUCAGUGAUGCCGGACAGAGGACCUGACAUGGAUGGCUGACUAGUCAUACGGAAGGGACAAAAAAAACAAGGUACAGUGUAAACUCAAGUGUGUGUGUGUGUGAAAGAUCCCUUGGCAGUUGGAAUUUUAUAUAAGAGUACGCCAUAGCUCUGCACACUGUGUGGCAUAUGCCCGUCUUCAUUUCUCAAACAGCUGUGGAUAAAAACUGUUAAUAUUUAAAUGUGUAUUUUGUAUUUUAUAACAUUAUAUUUUUGUCUUUUAAAUAAAGUAUAUGUAUACAUA